Molecule: ribosomal RNA, 498 nt
Filed under: uncultured bacterium
Lineage: Bacteria
Description: partial 16S ribosomal RNA
Rfam family: Bacterial small subunit ribosomal RNA
Source: RNAcentral
AGUGAACGCUGGCGGUAGGCCUAACACAUGCAAGUCGAACGGCAGCACGGGGCAACCUGGUGGCGAGUGGCGAACGGGUGAGUAAUACAUCGGAACGUGCCCAGUCGUGGGGGAUAACGUAGCGAAAGCUACGCUAAUACCGCAUACGAUCUACGGAUGAAAGCGGGGGAUCGCAAGACCUCGCGCGAUUGGAGCGGCCGAUGGCAGAUUAGGUAGUUGGUGGGGUAGAGGCUCACCAAGCCGACGAUCUGUAGCUGGUCUGAGAGGACGACCAGCCACACUGGGACUGAGACACGGCCCAGACUCCUACGGGAGGCAGCAGUGGUGAAUUUUGGACAAUGGGCGCAAGCCUGAUCCAGCCAUUCCGCGUGCAGGAUGAAGGCCCUCGGGUCGUAAACUGCUUUUGUACGGAACGAAAAGGCUCUGGUUAAUACCUGGGGCUCAUGACGGUACCGUAAGAAUAAGCACCGGCUAACUACGUGCCAGCCGCCGCGGUAA